This 321-nucleotide small nuclear RNA is filed under the name Ailuropoda melanoleuca (giant panda). RNAcentral describes it as "7SK RNA". It matches the Rfam family "7SK RNA". Rfam says of the family: 7SK was discovered as an abundant small nuclear RNA in the mid-70s but a possible function has only recently been suggested. Two independent studies have found that 7SK RNA binds the CDK9/cyclin T complex (known as elongation factor P-TEFb). P-TEFb activates transcription by phosphorylating the C-terminal domain of RNA polymerase II. The record is from Rfam by way of RNAcentral. Lineage: Eukaryota; Metazoa; Chordata; Mammalia; Carnivora; Ursidae.
GCAUGUGAGGGCGGUCCUGCUGCGACAUCUGUCAGCCCAUUGAUUGUCAGGGUUGAUUUGGCUGAUCUGGCUGGUUAGGUGGGUGUCCUCUUUCUCCUUCAGCACUCCGUGCAUCCCUCCUGAAGCUGCGUGCUCUAAGAGGACCAUGUCGCUCGAUAGAGGGGGACUGUUCUUUGGUCAUGGGUAUAUGAGUAGCUGUGCUCCCCUGCUGGAACCAAACAAGCUCUCAAGUCCACUUGUAGGAGAAUGCAGGUUAGUUAAGCUUCCAAGACUCAGGACACAUCCAAAUGAGGUGCUGCAUGUGGCAGCUUGCCCUUCUUU